GGUGAGAUGGCCGAGCGGUCUAAGGCGCCAGACUAAGGUGAUUCAGUCACGUGAUCUGGUCCGAAAGGGCGUGGGUUCGAAUCCCACUCUCAUCA
RNAcentral lists this transfer RNA (95 nucleotides) under Cristinia sonorae. It matches the Rfam family "tRNA". Rfam says of the family: Transfer RNA (tRNA) molecules are approximately 80 nucleotides in length. Their secondary structure includes four short double-helical elements and three loops (D, anti-codon, and T loops). Further hydrogen bonds mediate the characteristic L-shaped molecular structure. tRNAs have two regions of fundamental functional importance: the anti-codon, which is responsible for specific mRNA codon recognition, and the 3' end, to which the tRNAs corresponding amino acid is attached (by aminoacyl-tRNA synthetases). tRNAs cope with the degeneracy of the genetic code in two manners: having more than one tRNA (with a specific anti-codon) for a particular amino acid; and 'wobble' base-pairing, i.e. permitting non-standard base-pairing at the 3rd anti-codon position. Lineage: Eukaryota; Fungi; Basidiomycota; Agaricomycetes; Agaricales; Stephanosporaceae. The record is from Rfam by way of RNAcentral.